CCUACGGGUGGCAGCAGUGGGGAAUAUUGGGCAAUGGGCGCAAGCCUGACCCAGCAACGCCGCGUGAAGGAAGAAGGCUCUCGGGUUGUAAACUUCUUUUAAGAGGGAAGAGCAGAAGACGGUACCUCUCGAAUAAGCUCCGGCUAACUACGUGCCAGCAGCCGCGGUAAUACGUAGGGAGCGAGCGUUGUCCGGAUUUACUGGGGGUAAAGGGCGUGCAGCCGGGAGUACAAGUCAGGUGUGAAAUCCCGGGGCUCAACCGCGGAACUGCAUUUGAAACUGUAUUUCUUGAGUACUGGAGAGGCAGGCGGAAUUCCUGGUGUAGCGGUGAAAUGCGUAGAUAUUAGGAAGAACACCAGUGGCGAAGGCAGUCUGCUGGAGAGCAACUGACGGUGAGGCGCGAAAGCGUGGGGAGCAAACAGGAUUAGAUACCCGUGUAGUC
RNAcentral lists this ribosomal RNA (442 nucleotides) under uncultured bacterium. RNAcentral describes it as "partial 16S ribosomal RNA". It matches the Rfam family "Bacterial small subunit ribosomal RNA", at positions 338 to 795 of the family's 1533-position model. The record is from RNAcentral.